Molecule: ribosomal RNA, 378 nt
Filed under: uncultured bacterium
Lineage: Bacteria
Description: bacterial SSU rRNA
Rfam family: Bacterial small subunit ribosomal RNA
Source: RNAcentral
UAAUACGUAGGUGACGAGCGUUAUCCGGAUUUAUUGGGCGUAAAGCGUACGCAGGCGGUUGAUUAAGUCUGACGUGAAACCUCCCGGCUUAACUGGGAGCGGUCGUUGGAAACUAAUUGACUUGAGGCAAUGAGAGGUAGGCAGAAUUCCCGGUGUAGUGGUGGAAUGCGUAGAUAUCGGGGGGAAUACCAGUGGCGAAAGCGGCCUACCAGCAUUGUACUGACGCUCAUGUACGAAAGCGUGGGGAGCAAACGGGAUUAGAUACCCCGGUAGUCCACGCCGUAAACGAUGAACACUAGGUGUGGGAGGCCUUAAAAACCUUCUGUACCGAAGCCAACGCGAUAAGUGUUCCGCCUGGGAAGUACGGCCGCAAGGCUA